RNAcentral lists this long non-coding RNA (209 nucleotides) under Cucumis sativus (cucumber). Its description in RNAcentral is "long non-coding RNA (CSAT_LNC000058)". Lineage: Eukaryota; Viridiplantae; Streptophyta; Magnoliopsida; Cucurbitales; Cucurbitaceae. The record is from RNAcentral.
UUGAUUUUUUUUUUUUUUUUUUUUUUUUUUUUUUUUUUUUUUUUGCGAUUCACCUUUUAAGCUCUUGUGAGCUAAGAGCACCAUGUAGUUUAGGCUCUUGCGAUAAGGAGCUUCACAUAUUUAACAACUCAAAUUUCCAUCAAGGAUUUGUUCACCUUCUUUAUUUGUAGAAUUGGUGAAUAUAAUAAUUAUUGGGUUUACUGUCAAAG